UAAGGAAUAUUGGUCAAUGGACGCAAGUCUGAACCAGCCAUGCCGCGUGAAGGAUUAAGGUCCUCUGGAUUGUAAACUUCUUUUAUAGGGGGCGAAAAAAGGCCUUUCUUGNUCACUUGACAGUACCCUAUGAAUAAGCACCGGCUAACUCCGUGCCAGCAGCCGCGGUAAUACGGAGGGUGCAAGCGUUAUCCGGAUUCACUGGGUUUAAAGGGUGCGUAGGCGGGCAGUUAAGUCAGUGGUGAAAUCCUGGAGCUCAACUCCAGAACUGCCAUUGAUACUAUCUGUCUUGAAUAUGGUGGAGGUAAGCGGAAUAUGUCAUGUAGCGGUGAAAUGCAUAGAUAUGACAUAGAACACCUAUUGCGAAGGCAGCUUACUACGCCUAUAUUGACGCUGAGGCACGAAAGCGUGGGGAUCAAACAGGAUUAGAUACCCUGGUAGUCCACGCCCUAAACGAUGAUUACUCGACGUGUGCGAUACACAGUACGCGUCUGAGCGAAAGCAUUAAGUAAUCCACCUGGGAAGUACGACCGCAAGGUUG
Molecule: ribosomal RNA, 541 nt
Filed under: uncultured bacterium
Lineage: Bacteria
Description: bacterial SSU rRNA
Rfam family: Bacterial small subunit ribosomal RNA
Source: RNAcentral